This 45-nucleotide non-coding RNA is filed under the name Trichobilharzia regenti. Lineage: Eukaryota; Metazoa; Platyhelminthes; Trematoda; Strigeidida; Schistosomatidae. The record is from RNAcentral.
AUCCAGUUAAUGAGUCCGAAAUAGGACGAAGUGAGCAUCCUGGAU